UUUGAAGUAAAAAAACGUAACAAGGUUUCCGUAGGUGAACCUGCGGAAGGAUCAUUACAGUAUUCUUUUUGCCAGCGCUUAAUUGCGCGGCGAAAAAACCUUACACACAGUGUUUUUUGUUAUUACAAGAACUUUUGCUUUGGUCUGGACUAGAAAUAGUUUGGGCCAGAGGUUUACUGAACUAAACUUCAAUAUUUAUAUUGAAUUGUUAUUUAUUUAAUUGUCAAUUUGUUGAUUAAAUUCAAAAAAUCUUCAAAACUUUCAACAACGGAUCUCUUGGUUCUCGCAUCGAUGAAGAACGCAGCGAAAUGCGAUAAGUAAUAUGAAUUGCAGAUUUUCGUGAAUCAUCGAAUCUUUGAACGCACAUUGCGCCCUCUGGUAUUCCAGAGGGCAUGCCUGUUUGAGCGUCAUUUCUCUCUCAAACCUUCGGGUUUGGUAUUGAGUGAUACUCUUAGUCGAACUAGGCGUUUGCUUGAAAUGUAUUGGCAUGAGUGGUACUGGAUAGUGCUAUAUGACUUUCAAUGUAUUAGGUUUAUCCAACUCGUUGAAUAGUUUAAUGGUAUAUUUCUCGGUAUUCUAGGCUCGGCCUUACAAUAUAACAAACAAGUUUGACCUCAAAUCAGGUAGGAUUACCCGCUGAACUUAAGCAUAUCAAAAGGCGGGGAGGAA
This 669-nucleotide ribosomal RNA is filed under the name Debaryomyces hansenii. RNAcentral describes it as "eukaryotic LSU rRNA". The stretch from base 257 to 410 matches the Rfam family "5.8S ribosomal RNA". Lineage: Eukaryota; Fungi; Ascomycota; Pichiomycetes; Serinales; Debaryomycetaceae. The record is from RNAcentral.